Molecule: ribosomal RNA, 350 nt
Filed under: uncultured bacterium
Lineage: Bacteria
Description: bacterial SSU rRNA
Rfam family: Bacterial small subunit ribosomal RNA
Source: RNAcentral
UGGGGAAUCUUGGACAAUGGGCGCAAGCCUGAUCCAGCAAUGCCGCGUGCGUGAAGAAGGCCUUCGGGUUGUAAAGCGCUUUUGUCAGGGAGCAAGAAGGGGUGGCUAAUAUCCACCCUGGAUGAGAGUACCUGAAGAAUAAGGACCGGCUAACUACGUGCCAGCAGCCGCGGUAAUACGUAGGGUCCAAGCGUUAAUCGGAAUUACUGGGCGUAAAGCGUGCGCAGGUGGUUCGUUAAGCGCGAUGUGAAAUCCCCGGGCUCAACCUGGGAAUUGCAUUGCGAACUGGCGAACUAGAGUACGGGAGAGGGGGUGGAAUUCCACGUGUAGCAGUGAAAUGCGUAGAGAUG